The sequence is a ribosomal RNA, 428 nucleotides long. It matches the Rfam family "Archaeal large subunit ribosomal RNA", at positions 2145 to 2973 of the family's 2987-position model. The record is from Rfam.
AUUCAUUAGAUAGAGAAGAUCACUAAGAUUUCGUGAUCUGCUGUCGAACUUAUUCCAAUUCCAAGAUCUCAGAUCGAAGCAAUAUUGAUCUUCCGCAAGAGCUCAUAUCAACAGGAAGGUUUGGCACCCCGAUGUUGGCUAUUCGCCACCUGGGGUUGUAGUAUGUUCCAAGGGUUGGGUUGUUCACCCAUUAAAGCGGUACAAAAGCUGGGUUCAAAAUGUCAUGAGACAGUUCGGUCCAUAUUUGAUAUGGGCGUUAGAGCAUGGAGAGGACCUUUCCCUAGUAUGAGAGGACCGGGAAGGACGCACCUCUGGUGUACCCGUUAUCGUGCCCACGGUAAACGCUAGGUAGCCAAUUAUGGAGCAGAUAACUGCUGAAAGCAUCUAAGUAGUAAAUCCACCCCAAGAUGAGUGUUCUCCUAUUCCAA